Salmo salar (Atlantic salmon) is the source of this 54-nucleotide non-coding RNA. The record is from Rfam. Lineage: Eukaryota; Metazoa; Chordata; Actinopteri; Salmoniformes; Salmonidae.
UGUAUUCACUAUUGUAAGUCGCUCUGGAUAAGAGCGUCUGCUAAAUGACUGAAA